CCUACGGGUGGCAGCAGUGGGGAAUAUUGGACAAUGGGGGGAACCCUGAUCCAGCCAUGCCGCGUGUGUGAAGAAGGCCCUCGGGUUGUAAAGCACUUUCAGUGAGGAAGAACGCCUGGUGGUUAAUACCCAUCAGGAAAGACAUCACUCACAGAAGAAGCACCGGCUAACUCCGUGCCAGCAGCCGCGGUAAUACGGAGGGUGCGAGCGUUAAUCGGAAUUACUGGGCGUAAAGCGCGCGUAGGUGGCUUGAUAAGCCGGUUGUGAAAGCCCCGGGCUCAACCUGGGAACGGCAUCCGGAACUGUCAAGCUAGAGUGCAGGAGAGGAAGGUAGAAUUCCCGGUGUAGCGGUGAAAUGCGUAGAGAUCGGGAGGAAUACCAGUGGCGAAGGCGGCCUUCUGGACUGACACUGACACUGAGGAGCGAAAGCGUGGGUAGCAAACAGGAUUAGAUACCCUAGUAGUC
This 465-nucleotide ribosomal RNA is filed under the name Vreelandella stevensii. RNAcentral's name for it is "partial 16S ribosomal RNA". It matches the Rfam family "Bacterial small subunit ribosomal RNA", at positions 338 to 795 of the family's 1533-position model. Lineage: Bacteria; Pseudomonadati; Pseudomonadota; Gammaproteobacteria; Oceanospirillales; Halomonadaceae. The record is from RNAcentral.